RNAcentral lists this ribosomal RNA (497 nucleotides) under uncultured bacterium. RNAcentral describes it as "partial 16S ribosomal RNA". It matches the Rfam family "Bacterial small subunit ribosomal RNA", at positions 28 to 507 of the family's 1533-position model. The record is from RNAcentral.
GACGAACGCUGGCGGCGUGCCUAAUACAUGCAAGUUGAGCGCUGAAGGUUGGUACUUGUACCGACUGGAUGAGCAGCGAACGGGUGAGUAACGCGUGGGGAAUCUGCCUUUGAGCGGGGGACAACAUUUGGAAACGAAUGCUAAUACCGCAUAAAAACUUUAAACACAAGUUUUAAGUUUGAAAGAUGCAAUUGCAUCACUCAAAGAUGAUCCCGCGUUGUAUUAGCUAGUUGGUGAGGUAAAGGCUCACCAAGGCGAUGAUACAUAGCCGACCUGAGAGGGUGAUCGGCCACAUUGGGACUGAGACACGGCCCAAACUCCUACGGGAGGCAGCAGUAGGGAAUCUUCGGCAAUGGACGAAAGUCUGACCGAGCAACGCCGCGUGAGUGAAGAAGGUUGUCGGAUCGUAAAACUCUAUUGGUAGAGAAGAACGUUGGUGAGAGUGGAAAGCUCAUCAAGUGACGGUAACUACCCAGAAAGGGACGGCUAACUACGUG